CUUUAUGGUGAGCCGUGCGUGGGACACCUUCGGGUGUGCCGGGUCCCUUUGCCCCGGUCGACCAACCCGCGCACGGUUCACCACCCUC
RNAcentral lists this non-coding RNA (88 nucleotides) under Marinospirillum celere. The record is from RNAcentral. Lineage: Bacteria; Pseudomonadati; Pseudomonadota; Gammaproteobacteria; Oceanospirillales; Oceanospirillaceae.